This 468-nucleotide ribosomal RNA is filed under the name uncultured bacterium. RNAcentral's name for it is "partial 16S ribosomal RNA". It matches the Rfam family "Bacterial small subunit ribosomal RNA", at positions 28 to 507 of the family's 1533-position model. The record is from RNAcentral.
GACGAACGCUGGCGGCGUGCUUAACACAUGCAAGUCGAACGGAAAGGCCCUGCUUUUGUGGGGUGCUCGAGUGGCGAACGGGUGAGUAACACGUGAGUAACCUGCCCUUGACUUUGGGAUAACUUCAGGAAACUGGGGCUAAUACCGGAUAGGAGCUCCUGCUGCAUGGUGGGGGUUGGAAAGUUUCGGCGGUUGGGGAUGGACUCGCGGCUUAUCAGCUUGUUGGUGGGGUAGUGGCUUACCAAGGCUUUGACGGGUAGCCGGCCUGAGAGGGUGACCGGCCACAUUGGGACUGAGAUACGGCCCAGACUCCUACGGGAGGCAGCAGGGGGGAAUAUUGCACAAUGGGCGGAAGCCUGAUGCAGCAACGCCGCGUGCGGGAUGACGGCCUUCGGGUUGUAAACAGCUUUCGCCUGUGACGAAGCGUGAGUGACGGUAAUGGGUAAAGAAGCACCGGCUAACUACGUG